GCAUACGCCCUGAGGGGGAAAGUGGGGGAUCGCAAGACCUCACGUUAUUCGAGCGGCCGACGUCUGAUUAGCUAGUUGGUGGGGUAAAGGCCUACCAAGGCGACGAUCAGUAGCGGGUCUGAGAGGAUGAUCCGCCACACUGGAACUGAGACACGGUCCAGACUCCUACGGGAGGCAGCAGUGGGGAAUUUUGGACAAUGGGGGCAACCCUGAUCCAGCCAUUCCGCGUGAGUGAAGAAGGCCUUCGGGUUGUAAAGCUCUUUCAGCUGGAACGAAACGGUACAUCCUAAUACGGUGUGCUAAUGACGGUACCGGCAGAAGAAGCACCGGCUAACUACGUGCCAGCAGCCCGCGGUAAUACGUAGGGUGCGAGCGUUAAUCGGAAUUACUGGGCGUAAAGCGUGCGCAGGCGGAUUGUUAAGCAAGAUGUGAAAUCCCCGGGCUUAACCUGGGAAUGGCAUUUUAACUGGCAGUCUAAAAUGUGUCAGAAGGGGGUGGAA
This 500-nucleotide ribosomal RNA is filed under the name uncultured bacterium. Its description in RNAcentral is "bacterial SSU rRNA". It matches the Rfam family "Bacterial small subunit ribosomal RNA", at positions 171 to 666 of the family's 1533-position model. The record is from RNAcentral.